RNAcentral lists this ribosomal RNA (162 nucleotides) under Eucalyptus retusa. RNAcentral describes it as "5.8S ribosomal RNA". It matches the Rfam family "5.8S ribosomal RNA". Rfam says of the family: 5.8S ribosomal RNA (5.8S rRNA) is a component of the large subunit of the eukaryotic ribosome. It is transcribed by RNA polymerase I as part of the 45S precursor that also contains 18S and 28S rRNA. Lineage: Eukaryota; Viridiplantae; Streptophyta; Magnoliopsida; Myrtales; Myrtaceae. The record is from RNAcentral.
AUAACGACUCUCGGCAACGGAUAUCUCGGCUCUCGCAUCGAUGAAGAACGUAGCGAACUGCGAUACUUGGUGUGAAUUGCAGAAUCCCGUGAACCAUCGAGUCUUUGAACGCAAGUUGCGCCCGAAACCUACGGUCGAGGGCACGUUUGCCUGGGUGUCACA